ACACUCUGGCUUCUCUUCAUAACGCGUACAAGUCUUUUCGCCUUUACUAAAGACUUCCGUGGAGAGCAGCGUUAAAGAGUUGCACCUAUUUUUGGCAGGGUCUGCCGUCUGGCUG
Oreochromis aureus is the source of this 115-nucleotide small nuclear RNA. Its record names the gene U5. It matches the Rfam family "U5 spliceosomal RNA". Rfam says of the family: U5 RNA is a component of both types of known spliceosome. The precise function of this molecule is unknown, though it is known that the 5' loop is required for splice site selection and p220 binding, and that both the 3' stem-loop and the Sm site are important for Sm protein binding and cap methylation. The record is from Ensembl. Lineage: Eukaryota; Metazoa; Chordata; Actinopteri; Cichliformes; Cichlidae.